Molecule: long non-coding RNA, 305 nt
Organism: Gallus gallus (chicken)
Lineage: Eukaryota; Metazoa; Chordata; Aves; Galliformes; Phasianidae
Exons: 2
Source: RefSeq, a predicted model, not a curated record
UGAAUACUGAGCACUCAUAGUGUGUUUUUUUUUCCCCACAGACUCAACCAUUGCCCACUUUCGAAGGGACAAGCCUCCCGUGAAGCAGAUGACCCGCAGCAGAGAUGCAUAGGCUUCAGCAUGCCAAGGCAACCAGGACUGCGUCACGACCAUUGUGUUUUCUUGCAGAGGGCUCUUGGGGCAGAACAUGGGGCUUUUGGGUUCAUGGGGUAUGCUCUCCCAUUAUUUCUAGCCACUAAGAUAUAUGACUUGCUUAUGUAUGGACCACCUAGAAUAUCAAUAAAAUAUCACAGCUAUUUUAGAGA